UGGAAACUGCAGGAAGGAGAUGUGAGAAUGGCUGAAGGUCAAAUGUGGCACGAGAGGAGGUGCUGCUGGAGAGCCUGGCUGGGAGCACCUUGGGAGGCAGUUUCUAUAGUGAUGGACAAACACAUGCAGCCUGGGUGCUGUUUGCCUGCACUGCCUAAAACACCACCAAAUUUUGGAGAAAUCCAUUGAAAAUUUUUUGCCAAAG
Molecule: non-coding RNA, 205 nt
Organism: Agelaius phoeniceus (red-winged blackbird)
Lineage: Eukaryota; Metazoa; Chordata; Aves; Passeriformes; Icteridae
Source: RefSeq, a predicted model, not a curated record